CUAAAUUAUACUAUAUAUGUACAAUGUUAAGUUCUAUAUCUCAUUAUUUAUUUUUUAAAUAUAAUUGAAAAUUAAGAAAAUGAUACCAAAUACGUUAAAUUCUAAUCAACCCACAUAUCUCCGGCAAUGGAGGUUCUUACAGCAAAGACAGACCGGAUCUUACACCCUCUUCUGUGAGGGAAUUGGAGCUUGCAUGUUCCAGAAGAACGAGCUGUGCCAUCUGUCUACUUGUGCCCCAUCCAAAGAUGGAUUCACAUAUAAAGGAGCAGCGAUACAAUCAUACUAUCAUGGUUCAUAAACGGGCACAAGACCUCUCAAUGACCAAUCUGAAGCUAAGUAGUUCUGCAUCUCACGCCAAACCACGGUUUACGCCUUGCAGAGCCAAUCUUGAAAAUUGUACAUACAUUUAACUCUAAGGAUCCACUUGUAUGAUGUAUCUAUGCAGAAUGUACAAUAGACAAACGCUAAUUAAGCGGUUGGAUAUAGA
Arabidopsis thaliana (thale cress) is the source of this 487-nucleotide RNA transcript. RefSeq lists it as uncharacterized. The record is from RefSeq. Lineage: Eukaryota; Viridiplantae; Streptophyta; Magnoliopsida; Brassicales; Brassicaceae. The transcript is spliced from 2 exons.